RNAcentral lists this long non-coding RNA (321 nucleotides) under Homo sapiens (human). RNAcentral's name for it is "HSALNT0183140". The record is from RNAcentral. Lineage: Eukaryota; Metazoa; Chordata; Mammalia; Primates; Hominidae.
AGGGAAUAAGAUUUUGAAUCUUUUCUUGGGAAUCCAUGAUGCAAUCUUUAUCAGAAGUAAGGCAGUUUCUUCUUGUCCCAUUGUCUUCAGAGGAGAACAACCCACUGGUAUUCCUUGCUGCCUCCAACCCUGUCUCAGGGAAGCCUUAGGUAACUAUGUCCAGAAGGCAGCCACUCCCUUCUCUGUCUCUUUAGGGACAUGAAAGUAGUGGGAUAUUUUGCUUGGUUUCACAUUCGAAAACACAUCUCUUCUUCUAGGAACAAGCAGUGAUUUAAAGGCUUGUUUAAUUCUAAUUAAUUUAAUGACAAAAUAAAUUAAUGU